UGUCCACUUUGAGUUUAAAAGGCAAAUUCCGCAUAUAUUUACUUUUGGUUUUCGUUCCAAAAAGCUUUAUACUAAUUAGAGUUAGACUUCUUUUUAUAUAUUAGACUUUCUUUUGUUUAACUUUCGAUGUGAAACUUAAAUUGAAAUCUUUCAUUAGCGAUAAAAUUAUCUAUAUUAAGGAUGAAAAUACCAUAUGAGUUUCAGCAGCUGCUGGUAGAUGAUUGUUUUUAGGAAGUAAUGUCCAAUUACAAACAAGAUUUUAUCUCUUGGUUAGCCUUUUCUCGUCUAUUUUACCUAUUUUAAGUUUAAGAAUUGUCUCUAAUUACCUAAAUCAUAGAUGUGUAUUUCAAUUCUUGUGGUUAAACUUUAUUGUAGGAUGAAAAAUAAAAGACUAAACUAACCAUCGUGUCAUUAUAAAUAGAAAUUCAUCUUAGGCUCAGCUCCUCAACCAAUACACAUAAUAUACCUUCAAACUAAAAAAAAAGAAAGGAGAAGAAGUAAAAAAGUAAAAUAUAGCAUGGCUAAGUUUGCUUCCAUCAUCACCUUCCUCUUGGUUGUUCUUAUUAUCUUUUCUGCUUUUGAAGCACCAACGAUUGUGGAAGGGCAGAAGUCAUGCAAGAGGCAGCCUAAUUCAGGGAGCAAAAAUUGUAUGAAGGAUAGUGAAUGCCAGAAGAUCUGCAUCGAAACCGAGAAAGCACUACGUGCUACUUGUGAUUAUACAUUCCCAAGGCGCAGGUGUUUUUGCCACUUUCCAUGUUAAUCAACAGAGCAGUUCCAAGACAUUUUUAUGCCCUAUGCCAAAUAAAUAUUACUAGAUGACUUUCUGCGAUGUCGCGGGAUAAAGUCCAUUUCAAUAUUAUUAUAACAAGUUUUCUAUAUAAUUGAAAUUUAUAACAAUUUUGAUAAA
This is a long non-coding RNA of Brassica napus (rape), 907 nucleotides long. RefSeq lists it as uncharacterized. NCBI's taxonomy places the organism in Eukaryota, Viridiplantae, Streptophyta, Magnoliopsida, Brassicales, Brassicaceae. The record is from RefSeq and is a predicted model, not a curated record. The transcript has 2 exons.